ACCGGAUUAGAUACCCUGGUAGUCCACGCCGUAAACGAUGUCGACUUGGAGGCUGUUUCCUUGAGAAGUGGCUUCCGGAGCUAACGCGUUAAGUCGACCGCCUGGGGAGUACGGCCGCAAGGUUAAAACUCAAAUGAAUUGACGGGGGCCCGCACAAGCGGUGGAGCAUGUGGUUUAAUUCGAUGCAACGCGAAGAACCUUACCUACUCUUGACAUCCACGGAAUUUGGCAGAGAUGCCUUAGUGCCUUCGGGAACCGUGAGACAGGUGCUGCAUGGCUGUCGUCAGCUCGUGUUGUGAAAUGUUGGGUUAAGUCCCGCAACGAGCGCAACCCUUAUCCUUUGUUGCCAGCGAUUCGGUCGGGAACUCAAAGGAGACUGCCGGUGAUAAACCGGAGGAAGGUGGGGAUGACGUCAAGUCAUCAUGGCCCUUACGAGUAGGGCUACACACGUGCUACAAUGGCGCAUACAAAUAGAAGCGACCUCGCGAGAGCAAGCGGACCUCAUAAAGUGCGUCGUAGUCCGGAUCGGAGUCUGCAACUCGACUCCGUGAAGUCGGAAUCGCUAGUAAUCGUGGAUCAGAAUGCCACGGUGAAUACGUUCCCGGGCCUUGUACACACCGCCCGUCACACCAUGGGAGUGGGUUGCAAAAGAAGUAGGUAGCUUAACCUUCGGGAGGGCGCUUACCACUUUGUGAUUCAUGACUGGGGUGAAGUCGUAACAAGGUAAC
This 728-nucleotide ribosomal RNA is filed under the name uncultured bacterium. Its description in RNAcentral is "bacterial SSU rRNA". It matches the Rfam family "Bacterial small subunit ribosomal RNA", at positions 772 to 1500 of the family's 1533-position model. The record is from RNAcentral.